GACAAACGCUGGCGGCGUGCGUAACACAUGCAAGUCGAACGGGGUGGUUUCUUCGGAGGCCACCGAGUGGCGGACGGGUGCGUGACACGUGGACAACCUACCGGGCGCAGGGGGAUACCCUCCAGAAAUGGGGGCUAAGACCGCAUACGCUGGCCAUUUGUACGGAGUGGUCAGGAAAAACGCGAGUUGGCGUCUGAUGGGUCUGCGGCCGAUUAGCUGGUUGGUGGGGUAACGGCUCACCAAGGCGACGAUCGGGAGCUGGUCUGAGAGGAUGAUC
RNAcentral lists this ribosomal RNA (277 nucleotides) under uncultured bacterium. RNAcentral describes it as "partial 16S ribosomal RNA". It matches the Rfam family "Bacterial small subunit ribosomal RNA", at positions 28 to 305 of the family's 1533-position model. The record is from RNAcentral.